AUGAUGGAUACACUUGUAAGCCUUGCUGGCUACCUAGCCGGAAUCGCGUACCCUGUACUGUUGUGGCUGCUGGUGCUUGCCGCCAUUAGCUUCGUCAUCGCCAUACCGCUGCCGUCGGCCAUGGACGAACACCCCUUGCUCACCUGCAUUGUCACCAUCUUCCUGACAGUGGUGGUGAUGACAACUCCUCGAGAUACAUUUGUAAGCCUUGCCGGCUACCUUCCCGGAAUCGUGUACCCUGUAGUGGUGUGGCUGCUGGUGUUUGCUGCCAUUAGCUUCAUCAUCUCCAUACCGCUGCCGUCGGCCAUGGACGAGCACCCCUGGCUCCCCCCCACUAUCACCAUCUUCCUCAUAGUGGUGGUGAUGACAACUCCUCGAAAUACACUUGUAAGCCUUGCUGGCUACCUUCCUGGAAUCGUGUACACUCUACUGAUGUGGCUGCUGGUGUUUGCCGCCAUUAGCUUUGUCAUGUCCUUACUGCUGCCGUCGGCCAUGGACGAGCACCCCUGGCUCCCCCCCACUGUCACCAUCUUGCUCACAGUGGUGGUGAUGACAACUCCUCGAAAUACACUUCUAAGCCUUGCUGGCUACCUGUCCGGAAACGUGUACCCUCUACUGGUGUGGCUGCUGGUGUUUGCCACUAUUAGCAUCGCCAUUAACAUCGUGUACCCUCUCUUACCGCUGCCGGCGGCCAUGGACAAGUACCCCUUACUCACCUUCACUGUCCCCAUCUUCCUAACAGUGGUGCUGAUGAGAACGCCAUGGGAUACAAUUCUUGACCUUGCUGGCUACCUUCUGGAGACCGUGUACUUGCUGCUGCUGUGGCUUCUUGUGUUUCUGGCCAUUAGCGCAGUUGUUAGUGUCCUUGUGCCGUCAGCCAUCAAGGAAUACCCUGACUUGGCCGUCCAGUUCACCAUCGGCCUCACGGUGGUGCUGAGAAUCCCAGCUUUAGGGGGCACAAUCCUCGACAUCGUGUGCCUGCUGCUGGUGUGGUUUCUGUUGUUCUACUCCAUUAGUGCAGUGGUCGGCAGAAUACUUGUGCCGUCUGCCGCCAAGAAGUGCCCCAUGGUCACCUUUGUGUUCGUGGUCGGCCUCACACUGCUGAUGAUGAGAGUGCUGUGGGGAUGGGGCACAACCGUCCAGCUGCCUGCACGGAUCUCUCUAGCUCCCACAACCUUGCCUUUGGACGAGUUGGUUUUGGACGAUUUUGUCAGGUUCCCAGAGUCUCGUCAGAUGGAUCUCAUCUUCAGAGACACUGAAGAAAUGAAGGUGGAACACGAGAGGGAUAUGGAGAAGAUCAUCCCAGGAUCCAGUCUGCUUGCGGAGGAGAUUAAUGACCUUAAGCAUGAUGUGCUAUACCAGGGAGCAACUCAGAGAUUGGUUAUCUACACGGUUACGAUCCUGAUUAUUACCAUGGGCUGCAUGAUCAAAUUCUUUAUUGAAAAUGCCGAUGAUGGGUUGAUCAAUAGAUGUGUUUUCGAGAGGAAUGCUUUGGCUAAGGAUGCGCUGGGCAGUUUUCGUCGGCACAUCCUUCGUUAUGCCUCGAGGAUUUCUAAAUAG
Molecule: ribosomal RNA, 1560 nt
Filed under: Triticum aestivum (bread wheat)
Lineage: Eukaryota; Viridiplantae; Streptophyta; Magnoliopsida; Poales; Poaceae
Description: partial small subunit ribosomal RNA
Source: RNAcentral